RNAcentral lists this long non-coding RNA (665 nucleotides) under Numida meleagris (helmeted guineafowl). RNAcentral's name for it is "lncRNA (ENSNMEG00000010714.1)". The record is from RNAcentral. Lineage: Eukaryota; Metazoa; Chordata; Aves; Galliformes; Numididae.
ACUUUAACAUGUUAUGAAAAAUCAGAAUUUCAUUCUCAUUUCUUUAUUUCUUUCUCCAGCAACACCGAAGGGUUCUUCAAACAGAACUGGUAACAGCCUGGAGUACAGAGCAUCUUGGAAGUCCCCUUUAUCAACCAGUGUGGGGGAAAAAAGUCACUCAGCAAACAUGGUAUGAACAAAGAAUGUGAAUUCUGCACUUCUGCUACAGUUUGUUUCGCAGCUGUGCUUUGGGGAAGGGUUCUACUGGCACUCCUUGGCACACAAGGCAACGAGGAAGAGACAACGGCUGUUAGGACCAGGCUUUAUCACUCUGGUUCUGAAACCACCUUCAGCAGCAUUUCAGAGACACAUGGCCUUGUCAGUUUGUAUUUUAGGAAACCAUGUGGUAGGUUCUUAUAAAUAGGUAGAGCUGCUUCCAGCAAUAAGGAUUUCCUUCAUCCGCCACUUAGAAGUUGCAAAGACUGAUCUGAAGGCCACAGAAAGGAAGAGGAUGCAAUUGUGUUGUAAAGAGACCACAGAAAGAUAAAAGCUCAGACUGAAAAUUCAGGUUGAGAUUUUGGUCACCUGAUAGAUGAAUGUUAAGCUAGUGGCAGAUAGUGUUUCAUAUAAAUGCUGUUCGUGAUUUUCAGUGUUCAAACUCUGACAUGAAAUUAAGAAGAAGAACA